GAGUAAUGUCUGGGAAACUGCCUGAUGGAGGGGGAUAACUACUGGAAACGGUGGCUAAUACCGCAUAACGUCGCAAGACCAAAGAGGGGGACCUUCGGGCCUCUUGCCAUCAGAUGUGCCCAGAUGGGAUUAGCUUGUUGGUGAGGUAACGGCUCACCAAGGCGACGAUCCCUAGCUGGUCUGAGAGGAUGACCAGCCACACUGGAACUGAGACACGGUCCAGACUCCUACGGGAGGCAGCAGUGGGGAAUAUUGCACAAUGGGCGCAAGCCUGAUGCAGCCAUGCCGCGUGUAUGAAGAAGGCCUUCGGGUUGUAAAGUACUUUCAGCGGGGAGGAAGGUGUUGUGGUUAAUAACCGCAGCAAUUGACGUUACCCGCAGAAGAAGCACCGGCUAACUCCGUGCCAGCAGCCGCGGUAAUACGGAGGGUGCAAGCGUUAAUCGGAAUUACUGGGCGUAAAGCGCACGCAGGCGGUCUGUCAAGUCGGAUGUGAAAUCCCCGGGCUCAACCUGGGAACUGCAUUCGAAACUGGCAGGCUUGAGUCUUGUAGAGGGGGGUAGAAUUCCAGGUGUAGCGGUGAAAUGCGUAGAGAUCUGGAGGAAUACCGGUGGCGAAGGCGGCCCCCUGGACAAAGACUGACGCUCAGGUGCGAAAGCGUGGGGAGCAAACAGGAUUAGAUACCCUGGUAGUCCACGCCGUAAACGAUGUCUACUUGGAGGUUGUGCCCUUGAGGCGUGGCUUCCGGAGCUAACGCGUUAAGUAGACCGCCUGGGGAGUACGGCCGCAAGGUUAAAACUCAAAUGAAUUGACGGGGGCCCGCACAAGCGGUGGAGCAUGUGGUUUAAUUCGAUGCAACGCGAAGAACCUUACCUGGUCUUGACAUCCACGGAAGUUUUCAGAGAUGAGAGUGUGCCUUCGGGAACCGUGAGACAGGUGCUGCAUGGCUGUCGUCAGCUCGUGUUGUGAAAUGUUGGGUUAAGUCCCGCAACGAGCGCAACCCUUAUCCUUUGUUGCCAGCGGUCCGGCCGGGAACUCAAAGGAGACUGCCAGUGAUAAACUGGAGGAAGGUGGGGAUGACGUCAAGUCAUCAUGGCCCUUACGACCAGGGCUACACACGUGCUACAAUGGCGCAUACAAAGAGAAGCGACCUCGCGAGAGCAAGCGGACCUCAUAAAGUGCGUCGUAGUCCGGAUUGGAGUCUGCAACUCGACUCCAUGAAGUCGGAAUCGCUAGUAAUCGUGGAUCAGAAUGCCACGGUGAAUACGUUCCCGGGCCUUGUACACACCGCCCGUCACACCAUGGGAGUGGGUUGCAAAAGAAGUAGGUAGCUUAACCUUCGGGAGGGCGCUUACCACUUUGUGAUUCAUGACUGGGGUGAAGUCGUAACAAGGUAACCGUAGGGGAACCUGC
Molecule: ribosomal RNA, 1410 nt
Filed under: Salmonella enterica subsp. enterica serovar Livingstone
Lineage: Bacteria; Pseudomonadati; Pseudomonadota; Gammaproteobacteria; Enterobacterales; Enterobacteriaceae
Description: bacterial SSU rRNA
Rfam family: Bacterial small subunit ribosomal RNA
Source: RNAcentral